Long non-coding RNA from Homo sapiens (human), 1924 nucleotides. NCBI's taxonomy places the organism in Eukaryota, Metazoa, Chordata, Mammalia, Primates, Hominidae. The record is from Ensembl.
GCGGCAGCAGGGUUGGGCUCUCGCCGUGAGUCGACGAAGGGAGCGCGGGCGCGCGCCCGCGUCCGCGCACUGAGAGUCGCCUCGGCCGCUCGCUUUCUCGACUCCCGCCUCGCGCCUCGAUCCUGUUCCGCCUCCCUCGGCCCUCCUGCCCGCCCCCACUCGUCGGCCCUCAGCAUUGUCUUUGAAUAUUAGCAAAUAAUGGAACAUGGGCCAAGGGUGAACCAUGACGAAUUUGUGUUCCAGCAGCCCUGCUUCUUUAGAAUUGACAGUCUGGCUUCGUGGUUAAUUCACAGCAUCUGAGGAAUACAUCCAAAGAGGGUGAUACUGUGGCAUGAUGGUACCAGGAUUCCAAGUUCAUUCCAGAGAAGAUGGCAAGAUGCAGAGAGGAGGAGUCACGCCUGAAGCCACACAGCUGACAUCAGAGCCAAAGCAUGAGCCUCAGUCUCUCUGACCCAGAGCUACCACCCUUGCUGCCUUGGGAAGAAGGAAGCCCCCUCCUAUUCUAUCCUUGAGCUGCCUUGGCAAGGAGGGGCCCCUUGCUGCCGCCAUCCUCACAGGACACCAUCCACAUGAGGGGAUGAACAGUCAGGGUGCUGCCCUCAGGGAGUUACCAUGUAGUAAAGGAGACAGAUGGAAUCACACAGAGGAAUGCACGUCUGAUUGUAGCCUGACUGGAGUGCCAUGAAGGAGACCAAGAGGGCAGGGUGAUGGAGAAAGCACAGGAUGAAGUUCUCGUCUUCCUUCCAACAGAAUCUCAGUUGCACUCAGUUGUUGCCCCCCUCGAACCUCCCUUGAGCCUCAGGAGAAACCACCCUGAUUCAGAGGUCCAGAGAAGACCUGACUAGCCCAAGGUAAUUCCGUCCCCUUGCCAGAGUGGCUUGGGCAGGGACACGGGACCUAUUUCAAUGAGGCCAAUGAGACAAAGGUAUUUCUGCUGGGGAGGCAGGGGCUUCAAGCAAAGGGUCUUGCUUGAAAGAGCCACCGGAAGAGGGCUCUCUCCUUCCUUAGGGUGUCACCGUGUCUGGAUGCGAUGCCUGGAAGUGCUACAGCCACUCGCGCCCAGCCUGAAGAUGAAACCAACCCCAAACACAGCCAAGCAGAGAGAUGGAAAGAACUAGGACCCUAAUUACACCACUGAGCAGCUAUAGCAACCAGUUCCAGAGCCCUCUGACUUCCCGCCAAAGUGAGAUGAUAAGAUACUGUUUAAUUUCUCUCUUUUAUAGCCAAACACACCAAAAUUGACACAGAGAUGUGAGCCAUACCUACUACUGUUACUGCUCCAUCCCUAGCUCCAACCACAGUGCAUGGUACAUGGUAGAGAGCCAACAAACACUUGAAGAAUGAAUGGUGCAUAUUGAGUGGGAUUUUCCAGAGGCAGACCUGGAGACAAGGCUUCAAGUGCGUGUGUUGUAUUAAGGAAAUGCUCCCAGGGGACAAUAGCAGAGUGGCAGAAAUGGGACAAGGGGGCCAGGGAGCCAAGAACAGAGAAUCAAUCGUCUAAACAGAGCCCCCUGUUUUUUGUUUCACCUGGGAGUAGCUUCUACCUGAUCCCCAGGGGAACUCUGGGAUGUCAGUGACGGCUCAGCAUUGCCCCUGAGGCAAGGGAGCUGGGCUUUCCUAAUCCCCCACUCCUCAGUCUCUGGCUAAGCGCUGUCCCCAGGGGACUUAAUCACCCAAACACUUCCCCAAGAGUGGCAUCUGCUGACCACUGGAGGCACUGGUACAGUGAAGCGACAGAAGGGAUCAGAGAGGGUCCAGGUGGAGCACAGCAAUGUGGCUGAAUAAUAACUAUAUUAAUUCAUAUAGUUAAUUCUCAAGCAAUGGCAAAGUGUAGGCAGCUUCUUGUCUGCAAACGUUUCCAUGAUAUCUCUCCUGCAGCCAGACGGGUCUUUUCCUGCCGCCUACACAGAAUGGCCAUGGAGCA